RNAcentral lists this ribosomal RNA (254 nucleotides) under uncultured bacterium. Its description in RNAcentral is "partial 16S ribosomal RNA". It matches the Rfam family "Bacterial small subunit ribosomal RNA", at positions 524 to 776 of the family's 1533-position model. The record is from RNAcentral.
UACGUAGGGUGCGAGCGUUGUCCGGAAUUAUUGGGCGUAAAGAGCUCGUAGGCGGUCUGUCGCGUCGAUCGUGAAAACUUGGGGCUUAACCCUGAGCUUGCGGUCGAUACGGGCAUGACUGGAGUUCGGCAGGGGAGACUGGAAUUCCUGGUGUAGCGGUGAAAUGCGCAGAUAUCAGGAGGAACACCGGUGGCGAAAGCGGCUUCCUGGUCCAGCACCGACGUUCAGGCACGAAAGCGUGGGGAGCAAACAGG